UCCCAUAUCUGGUUGAUCCUGCCAGUAUUAUAUGCUGAUGUUAAAGAUUAAGCCAUGCAUGUGUAAGUUUAAAGACCAAGUAGGAUGAAACUGCGGACGGCUCAUUAUAACAGUAAUAGUCUCUUUGGUUAGUCGGUACAAGGAUAACUAUGUGAAUGAUAUAGCUAAUACUUGAGACGAUCCGGGGAGUGUUUUCACUUCUCGGCCGCUGGCCGCGAGGUUGGCGAGAAAUGACAUUCUCUUGCGAAAAAGGAUGCCACGACAAUUGAGGAAAGCGACGCUUUUAACAAGUAACCAAUGGGAAUUUCUGAUCUAUCAAUUUGUUGGUAGUAUCGAGGACUACCAAGAUUAUAACGGAUAACGAGGAAUUGGGGUUCGACAUCGGAGAGGGAGCUUUACAGAUGGCUACCACUUCUAAGGAAGGCAGCAGGCGCGUAAAUUACCCACUUUCGACAUGAAGAGGUAGUGACGACAAAUAACUCUUGGCGCUCUUCGGGGCGACUUGAAGGAAUGAUUAAGAAGUAAAUUCUCUUAAGAAAUCAAUUGGAGGGAAAAGAUAGUAUUCACCUUGUUCAGUAACAGUACAAUUUAAUGCUUUUUCAAUUUCCUCAGCAAAUGUUGGAUA
RNAcentral lists this ribosomal RNA (625 nucleotides) under Prevotella sp. RNAcentral describes it as "bacterial SSU rRNA". It matches the Rfam family "Eukaryotic small subunit ribosomal RNA", at positions 1 to 610 of the family's 1831-position model. The record is from RNAcentral. Lineage: Bacteria; Pseudomonadati; Bacteroidota; Bacteroidia; Bacteroidales; Prevotellaceae.